CCUCCUCCACUCCGCUCCGCUCGCUCUAUAAAAGAGCACCGCGUCCGCGGCGCCAUUCCACUUCCACCACCACUACCACCACCGCCCGGCGAGAGGAGAGCAGAGGGGGAGCGAGCAACCGGCGGCGAGAUGAUGCAGAUCUUCGUGAAGACGCCGACCGGGGAGACCAUGACGCUCGAGGUCGAGAGUUGCGCGGCCGUCGACAGCGUCAAGGCCAAGAUCCACGACAAGGAAGGUAUCCAGCCGGACCAGCAGCGCCUCAUCUUCGCGGGGAAGCAGCUCGACGAUGGCCGCACCCUGGCCGACUACAGCAUCCACAAGGAGUCCACGCUUCACCUCGCGCUGCGCCUCGUCGGCGGUGGCAAGGGCGGGGUCUACCCCAGCAGGAUGGAGCCUAACCUGCGCGUGCUUGCGCUCAAGUACAGGCAGCACAGGCUUGUGUGCCGCAAGUGCUAUGCACGCCUGCCCCUCAGGGCUGCCAACUGCCGCAAGAAGAAGUGCGGCCACAGCAAUGACAUCAGGCCCAAGGAGAAGCUGCGCCCCCACUAA
RNAcentral lists this ribosomal RNA (549 nucleotides) under Triticum aestivum (bread wheat). RNAcentral's name for it is "partial small subunit ribosomal RNA". The record is from RNAcentral. Lineage: Eukaryota; Viridiplantae; Streptophyta; Magnoliopsida; Poales; Poaceae.